This 392-nucleotide ribosomal RNA is filed under the name uncultured bacterium. Its description in RNAcentral is "partial 16S ribosomal RNA". It matches the Rfam family "Bacterial small subunit ribosomal RNA", at positions 523 to 918 of the family's 1533-position model. The record is from RNAcentral.
AUACGGAGGAUCCGAGCGUUAUCCGGAUUUAUUGGGUUUAAAGGGUGCGCAGGCGGCCAUUUAAGUCAGCGGUUAAAUCGUGGGGCUCAACCCCAUUCUGCCGUUGAUACUGGGUGGCUUGAUUGCGGUCGAGGUUGGCGGAAUUCGUUGUGUAGCGGUGAAAUGCAUAGAUAUGACGAAGAACACCGAUUGCGUAGGCAGCUGACCAGACCGCAAAUGACGCUCAUGCACGAAAGUGCGGGGAUCGAACAGGAUUAGAUACCCUGGUAGUCCGCAGAGUAAACGAUGAAUACUUGUUUUCGGCGAUAUAAUGUCGGAGGCAAAGCGAAAGCGAUAAGUAUUCCACCUGGGGAGUACGCCGGCAACGGUGAAACUCAAAUGAAUUGACGGGG